RNAcentral lists this ribosomal RNA (487 nucleotides) under uncultured bacterium. RNAcentral describes it as "partial 16S ribosomal RNA". It matches the Rfam family "Bacterial small subunit ribosomal RNA", at positions 28 to 523 of the family's 1533-position model. The record is from RNAcentral.
GAUGAACGCUGGCGGCGUGCUUAACACAUGCAAGUCGAACGGGAUCCAUCAGGCUUUGCUUGGUGGUGAGAGUGGCGAACGGGUGAGUAAUGCGUGACCGACCUGCCCCAUACACCGGAAUAGCUCCUGGAAACGGGUGGUAAUGCCGGAUGCUCCGACUCCUCGCAUGGGGUGUCGGGAAAGAUUUCAUCGGUAUGGGAUGGGGUCGCGUCCUAUCAGGUAGUCGGCGGGGUAACGGCCCACCGAGCCUACGACGGGUAGCCGGCCUGAGAGGGCGACGGGCCACAUUGGGACUGGGGUACGGACCAGACUCCUACGGGAGGCAGCAGUGGGGAAUAGUGCACAAUGGGCGCAAGCCUGAUGCAGCGACGCCGCGUGCGGGAUGACGGCCUUCGGGUUGUAAACCGCUUUUGAUCGGGAGCAAGCCUUCGGGUGAGUGUACCUUUCGAAUAAGCACCGGCUAACUACGUGCCAGCAGCCGCCGUAA